UCCACUAUUUAGGAGGUCUUUCUAAAUCCCC
RNAcentral lists this non-coding RNA (31 nucleotides) under Mus musculus (house mouse). Lineage: Eukaryota; Metazoa; Chordata; Mammalia; Rodentia; Muridae. The record is from RNAcentral.